UGCCCUUGGUGCUUAAAAUGGUGUCGCUGAACUGGACAGACAUGCCAUGGACCAACGGAGGUCCGUCUUAGAUGUAAGUUUCAUUAGUAUAUGAUCUUUGAAUCUUCUUUCAUAGCUGAAUUUUCAGUCUUAGGUUUUGUUUGUGAUUAUAUUAUCUUAGAUUGAAAUAAUUAAUAAAUAAGCAAAAGUGUUUCAUACUUGGAAAUAGUGGCAAUGACGUUAGAAUUGGGCAUGGUAUGGCAUAUGAUCUCUAAAAGAUGUUGGGAUAUUCUUACCUAGAGCUUCAGUGAGAUGCAUUCGUUGAAAUAGAUGUUCUUUAAAGAUUAAAAAAUUACUCCCUCCAUCCCAUAAUAUUAGUGUAAAAAACGUUCUUAUAUUAUGGACUCUCUCCGUCCCAUAAUAUAAGAACGUUUAAAAAACAUUGUUAUAUUAUGGGACGGAGGGAGUAGAUGGUAUGGGGAUUACACUCCUGUGUAGAUUUAUAUUACUAGAAUAUUUGCUAAUAUCAAGUUUAUCUAGGUGUUUAUAAGGGCUUGUUUGGUUCCAAUAAGUCACCUGACUUAUAAGUCAGGUGACUUAAAAUCAGUGACUUAUAAGUCACGCUUGUUUGGUUACCACCUGAUUUAUAAGUCACCUGAGCAUACCUUUCUACCUUGUUUUUUUAUGUAAAGGUGGUGGGACCCAUGCAAAAGGGGUGACUUAUAAGUUUUAAGUUGGGGUGGAGCAACUUAUGACUUAUAAGUUGGAUCCGUUUGGCAAAAUAAGUCACUUUUUACACUUUUCGACUUAUAAGUUGGUGACUUAUUUGAAAUCAAACAGGGCCUAAAUUGUUGUUCACUAGGAUUCCUUCACGUGAUCAUUCAUGCACACCUCGGGAAACAACCUUAUUAAUCCCCUUCUCUGCACACCAUUCUCUCGAGGUUGCAGGCACAUCUUAUAACCAUGUGCUGCGAGAACGAACACAUUCCGUUCAGUUGGAUUCAUAUUUUUCUUGCCUUCAUUUUUUGUUCUUGUGUAUUCAUGUCACGAAUCUAAUUUUAUUACUCCCUACGUACAAAAGGAAUUUCGGGUCGUAGUUCAAUUUAUUUAUUUUUCAAAGAACUUCUUAUACAUAUAGUUCUCGUAGUACUAAUCAGCCCAUCUCCACCUUCCUCCUUCAACCGUCGCCACCAUCGGCAGCUUCCCGAAGCCCAUCCGCCGUUGGGCAUCAACCAUGCCCGCGCGCUACCAAGCUCAGCUCGUAGGACCAGCGCCAUCGCCGCCCACCUACGACGCCGCCGAAUCCCUGCAUCACGCGGAUGGCCUCCGCCUCCUCGCCGGAGCCCCCGCCACCAGCUUCCAUCUCAUAUGCCAGCGCCGCCCCCAUGUAUCCUCCGUGAGUCAUGCCCCGAGCUUCCCGCUGGUGCACUUCCUCUGGCCGCAGGAGACCACCGCUUCUGCCCACAUGUGUUGCUCCCACCUCCACUGUUGGCUUUGCUUCUGAUCCAUCGACCUCAACUUCCUCCCGCCUCCUCCGCUGCCUCUGCCGGUACUCCUGUACAAAUCCAGAAGUGAAAUUCAAUUACUCCGGCAGUAUUAAUCCAAUACUGAAAUUCAAUUAUGGAUCAGGUAGCCAUACAAAUCCAGAAAUUAAAUUGGACUGGUUGUGCAAUCUGCAAGUUAAAUACUUAAAUCUGCGUCGUCCUAGUGUUAAAUCUGCAACAUAGAUAGAUCCUUUGCAGUGGAUCAUUCAGUUCUUUAAUUAGUUUAAGUGGCUUUUAAAUAGUGUGGGUCAGCAGUAGUGGAUCAGGAAACUUGUGCCUUUGGUCUCUUUAGUUGAAGUGUUAAAUCUGCACAUUCAUAUUCAUAGUAGAAAAAAAUUCAGAAACAAGCAACUAAAUGAGAUGAGAUGAAAUGGAAGCAGAGCAAAACUAGAGGCAGAGGAACACAUUUUCGACAGUCGUAGAGCUAUGUAAGCUAGUGUUAUAGGGCAGCCAAACCUAUACUCUAGUGUUGUAGAGGAAACAAAGCAGCAAAGCAACAGAACUGUAGUGCUAAAUUUAACCUAUUUUUCAGUAAACUGAAUCCACAUUAAUAAUGUACUCCAAGUCCUUGAUAUUGUGUCAAGUUCAAAUUAAUUAGGAGUAAAAGUGUGUUGUUCCUAUGAUAGUGUUGAUUGUGCUGAAGUGUGUUAAAAAAUUAGAUGUUCAGGGAUAACACUAAUUAUAGGCUUCUGCUUGUUUAAAGCGUUACAAGAUAUGAUAGAGCACGUUUUUGAUAGCUAGAGCACAAACCUAGGAAAGCAGGACAUCAUAAGUGGGAAGCUUCAGGUCAUCCUUAGUGUUUCCAAUCUAAGUUAGAAGGCUGACUUAAGGAGAACCUGAACCUAAAGCCACGGUGAAAGGUUCACCUGAAACUAAUUUUCUUCAGCAGUUCAGCUAACAUAUUUUUCUUCAACAUACUGUAGUAUACCUUCAAAGAGAACACCUGCUUCUCUAAAUUCUAAUUUGCCUUAACCACCUUAUGGUACUUCUCCUGAUAAAUCAAAUGUAAAUGAAAUUAGUGCACUAAAACAAGCAAAGGAGUGGCUUAGAUACAAAAUUUACAUAGCAGUGUACCAUAACUCUCUCUCUCUCUCUUAAUUUUCAUCUCUGAACUAGAUUCUCUUCUGAUGGACUUAACUGAAAUGCAAUGGAACUUUGCUGGGAAUUCAUAGUGCUUAUUUUUAGUUGAAAAGAUUUACACUGUUAGUUGACAAGAUUUACAUUGAAUCUUGCUCAAACCGAAUGUUGCUCAAACUAAACUUAUAGAGCAAUUAAUACAUAUGAGAUUGUCAAAACUAGAUUUUUGAGAAAUCAAGCUCAUUAGACUAGAUUUUCUCAAAACUGACUGAAUGUAGCUCAUCGGUAUCCACUCAUUCCUUACAUAGCGAAGGUACAAACGGUGGCAGAGGCGCAGAGCACGAUUCUCGUCGUGCUUGCGAUCUGGGGCCUGCGACUGCACCAACACCAUCAUCGAAAGAAUGCAGAUUUCGUCAGGGGCACACGCGGAACCGAGCAAACAUAACCCGCACUCGUGAAUCUGUGAAACCUAGGGCACGGAUCGAGAAAUCCCGAGCACAAUUCGCUCGCGGAUCGGAUGAAACGGAGGGGAUAAAGAGGAUGCUUACAGCCUGAGCUUGUGGCUGACGUCGCGGCUGUAGCUGUAGUAGGUGCUCCGGAGGUGGGCCUUCAUGGCUUGAAGUGCUCUGAUCGGGCGGUGGGCGGCCAUCCUUGGCGGAGGGGGCAAGUGGAGCUGGUCAUGAUACCUCAGUAAGAGUCACCAACCGCAGCUAAAGAGUCCCACCUCCCGAGCACCUACUGCAACUUCAUCUGCGACGUGGGCCACAGUCUUAGGCUGUAAGCAUCCUCUUUAUCCCCUCCAUUUCAUCCAACCCGCGAGCGAAUUGUACUUGGGUUUUCCCGAUCUGUGCCCUACGUUUCACGAAUUCGUGGGCGUGAGUUACAUUUGCUCGGUUAUGUGUGUGCGCUUGAUGAAAUCUGCAAUCUUUUGAUGUUGUUGUUGUUGCUGCUGUAGGCCCCAAAUUACAACCGCGCCAGGAAUCGUCUUCUUCCACCGUUUCUACCCCCACGCCAUCAGGAACGAGUGAGUACUGAGGAGCUUGAUUCAGUAACUUUUGAGAAAAUCUUGUCUGAUGAGGUGAUUCCUCAAAAAUCUAGUUUUGACAAUCUCGUCUAUAUUAGUUGUUGUGAAAGUCCAGUUUCAGAAACAUUCAAUUUGACCAAGACUCAGUGUAUACUAAUAGUGUAAAUCUUUUCAAUUAACAAUGUAAGCACUAUGAAUUUCCAGCAAAGUUUCUUUGCAUUUCAAUUAAUUCCAUCAGAAGAGAAUCUGGCUCAAAGAUGAUAAUUAACAGAGAGAGCUGUGGUAUACUGCAGUGUAAAUUUUGUAUCUAAGACACUCCUGUCCUUGUUUUGGUGCACGAAUUUCAUUUACAUUUGAUUUCUCAGGAGAAGUACCAGAAGGUGGUUAAGGCAAAUGAGAAGCUGGAGAAGCAGGUGUUGUCUCUGAAGGUAUACUGCAGUAUGCUGAAGAAAAAUAUCUUAGCUAAAGAAAUGUUACUUUCAGGUGAACCAUUUCACCGUGGCUUCAGGUUCAGGUUCUCCUUAACCCAGCCUUCUAACAGGGAGUGACAACACUAAGCUUCCCAUUGAGGAAGCGCACUAGCAGGGAGCUCGGUGCCCGACCCAUGUACGCCCUCUCUUCAACAUGCCACACCAUCUGUGCCGCACAGAGGAGAGAAAGGGGCCGGCGUUGGUAUAGGUGAUGGAGGCCGACUGUGGGGGCUCUGGCAAGGGGGCGGAGGCCAUACGCAUCAUGCAAGGAUGCAGCGGCGGCGCUGUUCCUGCGUGCUGGGGCCUGGUAGCAUACGGCAGAUGCGGUUGGGGAAGCUUCCGAUGGUGGCGACGGGGAAGGAGGAAGGUGGAGACGGACUGAUUAGUACGAGAAUUAUAUGUAUGAGGGGGCUUUGCAAAAAAUAAUUGAACUACAACCCAACAUGCUUUUUUGGACGGAGGGAGUAUUAUAUUUUGUAUCACCUAUGUUUUCUCAGAUGAUCCGAACAUUGUUUGAACAAUUGGAAUAAGAAGUAUCUCUGUUUGUUUUCUCUGAAAAAUACUAUGUAUUAUGUUCCUCUUAUUAACCAUAUAUCUAUGAUUUUAUCAUGAUCAUACUAGGAACAAUCUCUGGUAGACUACAAGUCCUAGAAGGAUUAAAACUCCAAGACCAAAAUUGAGGCUAAUUGAUACAUAGUUUCAAUUAUGUGCAACCUGAUUGCGGUUUCAACAUGGUGAUAAUGUGAAAAUCGACCAUUGUUAGUUAGGGAUUUAUUUAAUAAUUAUAUACAUCGCUCCUUUGCUAUAAGUAAAAUAGAAAUAUCCUUGAAGUCUUUCGUCUGGCUGGCGGAUUGUGAUCCCUGAUUAAUUAUGCUUUUUCUGUCAAUGUUUGUAUAUGAUUACAUUUAUGUUUUAGCACCUUUUGUUAGUUUAGUUAAUUAGCACCUUCUAUUAUUUUAGUUCAUUAUCAACUUCUCGUCAUGUUAAUGUUUGAGUUAUUUAUCAUUAGGACCAUGCCUUGAAUAACUACACUUCAUGGAAUAGUGUUAAUGCACAUGUGCGACUUAAGUUCUAGAAAUUCUUGCAAAAUGCAUUCUUCAGACAUCAGUCAUAAGAACAUAAUUAACAUGUAAUGCUUUAUAUCAAACCAAGAUAUAUUGGCCUAGGUUUAGAUUCUUGUCCAAUAUAUCUCAAUUCAUGAAAUAUAAUUUUUUGCAAGCUAUAUCCUCUGAUGUACCAUUGUUUCAUGCAUUGUAUUUCAUCAUGUAUUAGAAAGAAGCCUUUGUUACAAUGCAAAUUUUGCAUUUGAUUUCACUAAAAUAGCGAUGCAGGUGCAUGGAAAGCAUCUAGCUGGUCUGCUCCCAACACUAGACAUGAACUCACACUCAGUUAUCUCUCAAGUAUGUCCCUUCUCUGUAUUGUCCUAAAGUUCAAAUCUAAUGGGGAUGGUUUAAAUAUGGAAAACUGAAACAAAAUGUGGAGGCCUCCAUUUAGCUUGAGGUAGUAAAUGAGCUCCUAUAUCUAAUAAAAUUUAUUGCCUUGGCAUGUUACUAACUCUAGAUUUUAAAUAUGAUGUUCUUGAGAUGUACUUCUAGGAAAUAUUUUUUUUAGUCUUUUUGUUUUUAUCCAAUAAAACUAUUGAAGUAGGUGUGAUUCAUAGUUUUUUUAUAACAGGGCUAAUAUGUUGUGAUUCAGAACAUCCAAAACAAGUUAUGCCAUGGCUACUCUAAUCAAUCAUAAGAGUCAGAUAUUUGCCUAUUGAGUUUUCUAAUGUCAAUUUGGAAAGUAGAUUACUUAGCCUUGUUAUAUGCAUUGAAUAAUGAGUAGAUCCAUUGCUGCAUAAUUGGCAUCCACGGUUUGUAUGGGUCCGUGGACACCACCUGUUGAUGAGGCAAAAUAAUUUCUCACUAUUCGGUUAUUCUUAUGUUGCAGGAAAGACCAAAUGAUGCUAGACUAUAUUGCUUUUUGUAGUAUAAAUUUUUAUGGGAGGAAUCUGAUUCCAACCAACAAACAAAAAAAGGCUCGGUCCUUCAUAUGAGGUAAACCGUUGCGUUCAAGUAGCAUCAACCUUUGUGCAUAUUUGCUCUUCAUGCAAAAUCAUUGGGUUGUUACUAGGACCGGGAGUACCUCAUUUAUGGUGGCCUCACUGAUCUUAUGCAUGUGCUUAUUUUUAUUGUCCAUAUCUUCAUUUGUACUAAUUCAAGUAAAUUUAAUUUAUCUAUUGGCUUAAUAUGUCUUAGGUAUUGAUAGAGUAAUAUUUCGUUACUUGAUUAAUGGUCAAACAUACCACUUUAGUAUCUUUCUAUAGGUGCCUCAAAAUUGUGCAGUUGAUCAUAGCAUAUUGCUACUCGGAUAAAAAUGUCUUAGUGCUCUACAUUGAAGCUAUCAUAUAUAGUUUAAUUAUUUUAAGCAUUCAUCACCAAAACUACAUUUUGGGAGUGAAAGGCUUCACAGAAUUUAAAAUAUUUUAAGCGUUCAUCAGCUAAACUAUUUUAAGCAUGACAUUGUCCUUGCUCUGUGCCUCUAUGACGUCAAAAAGGAGAAGGAUACAUUCAAGGAGGUCCUGCACAAUACACCGGUAUCUGGAGGUGGAGAGCAUUCAGUUAAUCGUGCCAUACGUGGUGUAGUUCGUGUAAGAGAGGGAUCAUACCGAUGUAAGCUUUGUGUGGGAGUAGCUACUGUUCGAGGUGCUCACGAAGACAUUCCUCAUGAUGUUGGACUAAAACUGCUCUGAAUACUAUAUGUACUCUGUUGUUUUACUUUAUCACAUUCAUGUCUUGAGUAAAAAUCAUUGUCCAUUAACAUCGAGCAGAUAUAUACAACAUAUGAUGAUAAGUUUUUUUUGCUUGAGUAGGGCUCAUAAAUAAUUGUGUGCCUCACAACACUAUGAUAUGAUUUAAGGAAAUAAUUUUCUGCACAUAUACUAAUGUACCACUUUG
RNAcentral lists this long non-coding RNA (7033 nucleotides) under Triticum aestivum (bread wheat). Its description in RNAcentral is "long non-coding RNA (TAES_LNC006034)". The record is from RNAcentral. Lineage: Eukaryota; Viridiplantae; Streptophyta; Magnoliopsida; Poales; Poaceae.